Molecule: ribosomal RNA, 587 nt
Filed under: Desmodesmus sp. DZL-4
Lineage: Eukaryota; Viridiplantae; Chlorophyta; Chlorophyceae; Sphaeropleales; Scenedesmaceae
Description: eukaryotic LSU rRNA
Rfam family: 5.8S ribosomal RNA (bases 155-308)
Source: RNAcentral
CCUAUGCACACACACGCACUCCCUAUUUGUGUACCGACGUUAGGUCAACACACGCAAGUGUGUGGCCUACUAACCUACACACCAUUGACCAACCAAUAAUCAAACCAAACUCUGAAGCUUUGGCUGCUGUUAAUCGGCAGUUUUAACAAAGAACAACUCUCAACAACGGAUAUCUUGGCUCUCGCAACGAUGAAGAACGCAGCGAAAUGCGAUACGUAGUGUGAAUUGCAGAAUUCCGUGAACCAUCGAAUCUUUGAACGCAUAUUGCGCUCGACCCCCCGGGGAAGAGCAUGUCUGCCUCAGCGUCGGUUUACACCCUCACCCCACUUACUUCACAGUAAGCGCUUGCUGCGUUGUAUGACCAGCAACUGGGAUGGAUCUGGCCCUCCCAAUUGAAGCAAUUCGAUUGGGUUGGCUGAAGCACAGAGGCUUAAACUGGGACCCGUACCGGGCUCAACUGGAUAGGUAGCAACACCUUCGGGUGCCUACACGAAGUUGUGUCUGAGGACCUGGUUAGGAGCCAAGCAGGAAACAUGGAAACAUGUACUCUGUAUUCGACCUGAGCUCAGGCAAGGCUACCCGCUGAA